This is an RNA transcript of Mya arenaria, 1987 nucleotides long. RefSeq lists it as uncharacterized. NCBI's taxonomy places the organism in Eukaryota, Metazoa, Mollusca, Bivalvia, Myida, Myidae. The record is from RefSeq and is a predicted model, not a curated record. The transcript is spliced from 12 exons.
UGGAACACUUCAGCCAUGGCCGAGUUGUAACGAUUGUAUAUAAGAGGUCUUUCUCGAAGCUUGCCGAAGAUGGUCAAGUUUUAAGCUUGGUACAAUUGUUGUCUGUGUCGGUCAAGUUUCGUUUUGUUGGAAAGAUGUUUUUGGCCAGAAUCAACGCCCUUGCAGAAAAAAAGCCAACCAAAACUACCUUCAGACAAACACGGCUGAAAUUGAGCUGAAUUUGUGCUAUAUGCAGUAUAUCGAUCAAUACAUAGGUAAUGGAGUGUUUGCUAGGCAAGAGCUCUUGAAGGGGCAGUUUAUUCUCGAGUACAGAGGAGAACUAUGUAAACAGCAGUCUGAUGGUGAUGAAAUGUUCAAAUACCAUUUCAGACAUAACAACAAGGAAUACUGCAUCGAUGCCUCAAAAGACACGUGUCUGGCAUGCAUGGUCAACGACUUGGACCGAUACACAAAGCCUAAUUGCAAAAUGGUUAAAGUUGUUGAUGACAGACAUCAACCAAGACUCUGUCUGUAUGAUCAGCAAAAACACUGAAUUGAGGUACAAUUAUGGUGUUGCUGAUGUACCUUGGAGAAAGCGAAAGAUGCUGUUAAAGAUGGUCAUACAGCUGCAGAUACUACAGAGGUCACAGAAACAUCUGAAGAUGCCCUCGGUGAAUCAGCAGAAGUCUUGGAACAUGCUUAUCAUGAUGCUGUAGGGAACAGUGGGACAGUUGCCCCAUCCACAGUUGCCCCAUCCACAGUUGUCUCUGAACAUGCUGAAGGGCCGCCUCAAGAUGCUGUUAAAGAUGGUCAUACAGCUGCAGAUACUACAGAGGUCACAGAAACAUCUGAAGAUGCCCUCGGUGAAUCAGCAGAAGUCUUGGAACAUGCUUAUCAUGAUGCUGUAGAAAUCAGAGGGAUAGUUUACCAUCCACAGUUGUCUCUGAACAUGCUGAAGGGCCGCCUCAAGCAAUGUUCAAGAUUUGACCCAGGAGCAGCUACAGUAUUAUGGUUGAUCAGAGUGAGAGGCAUCUGCGGAAAAUAUUGGAGGAUAUAUUCUCUGCGAGAGACAUAUUGCAUUCAAGCAGGAAGGAAGAAGCAAAAAUGCUGUUAAGACGAUUAUACAGUUGCAGAAACAACAGAGAUCUCAGAACCAUCUCAAGAUGCUCUUGGUGCAUCAACAGAAGAUCAGAAGUGGACCAUGCUUAUCUUGAUGCUACAGGGAACAAUGGUACAGUUGCCCCAUCCACUGUCAUCUCUGAACAUGCUGAAGGGCUGCCUGAAGCCAGGAACUUUCAGCGUUUAACAGAGGAGCAAGGCCAACUCCUAAGAAAAUGUCGAAGUGUUCAACAUUACUAUGAGACGGGAACUGAAGAUGAUAGACUGUAUUAAUUCAAUCAAAAGCCACAAGUGUUUGAAUUCUCUGAAGUGGAAUUAAAUAAAAAACACAUUACACAGUUGGAUAACGACAGAUUGCACACUGAAACAAUAAUAAGUGUUCAAAGUGCUAGUACAUCUUGUACAUAGUGUCAAGGUGUCCAAGCAUGUCUCUGUAAGCCAAUGGUUCACUGCAUAUGAGGUUAAUUUAUAUCUUACAGUGGAUUGCAGCAAAAGGCCAGAGGAAAAUAUGUUUUGAUACUCGUCCGUAUUUUGAAGAAGAAAAAUGGGGCUGAAUGGCAUGUUUAUUUUUUUAUUUGACGGGCGGGCUGGGAUGAGAAUCUAAAAUAUUUUUUCUCUGGCUUAAGGCUUUAUUCUUAGUAUGUAUCUAUUAUUUCAUCAUGAUGAAGUCAUCGUUACUAUUCUACAUUGUUAAAAAUUAGAUUCAAUCAUUUUUAGAUUUCCGGAGGUUUUGAAGAGCAUAUUUUUAACAGCCAAUGGGAUCAUAAGCACAUUUCGAGUGUUACAUGACCCAGCCUUUUUAUCAAAAGUUGCUCAGAGUUCAUUUUUGCGUGUCAGAGUAAAAGGCCUUGGAAACUUCAAAAUGGCUGAAAAGGCUUGUCCAAGCACU